UACGUAGGGUGCAAGCGUUAAUCGGAAUUACUGGGCGUAAAGCGUGCGCAGGCGGUUUUGUAAGACCGAUGUGAAAUCCCCGGGCUCAACCUGGGAACUGCAUUGGUGACUGCAAGGCUUGAGUGUGUCAGAGGGAGGUGGAAUUCCGCGUGUAGCAGUGAAAUGCGUAGAUAUGCGGAGGAACACCGAUGGCGAAGGCGGCGUCCUGGACCAAUACUGACACUGAGGAGCGAAAGCCAGGGGAGCAAACGGG
RNAcentral lists this ribosomal RNA (253 nucleotides) under uncultured bacterium. RNAcentral describes it as "partial 16S ribosomal RNA". It matches the Rfam family "Bacterial small subunit ribosomal RNA", at positions 524 to 776 of the family's 1533-position model. The record is from RNAcentral.